Molecule: ribosomal RNA, 253 nt
Filed under: uncultured bacterium
Lineage: Bacteria
Description: partial 16S ribosomal RNA
Rfam family: Bacterial small subunit ribosomal RNA
Source: RNAcentral
UACGUAGGGUGCAAGCGUUGUCCGGAAUUAUUGGGCGUAAAGAGCUCGUAGGCGGUCUGUCGCGUCGGCUGUGAAAUCCCGAGGCUCAACCUCGGGCCUGCAGUGGGUACGGGCAGACUGGAGUGCGGUAGGGGAGAAUGGAAUUCCUGGUGUAGCGGUGGAAUGCGCAGAUAUCAGGAGGAACACCGAUGGCGAAGGCAGUUCUCUGGGCCGUAACUGACGCUGAGGAGCGAAAGCGUGGGGAGCGAACAGG